GCUGGGUGCUGUGGCGUGCAUCUGUGAUCUAGCUACUUGUAGGCUGAUCUCUCGAAUGACAUGAUUUCAGGACCACUGCAGUGCAGUCUCCUAUGUCAAACGAGCGUCCACACUAAGCUCAAUGUCAACAUGGUUCUCAUGUAGGGAUGCAAGAUACACCAGGUUCGAUAAUGAAGAACGCAUUGGCCAAGGGCGGAAACGCAGUAGGCAAAAGUUCUCACAAUGAGCAUUAGCAGGAUAUCGCUUUGGAGUGACGUUGUGCUGUAAGUUAAACAAUACAGUCGAGCCAAGAGCGGU
RNAcentral lists this signal recognition particle RNA (297 nucleotides) under Clytia hemisphaerica. RNAcentral describes it as "metazoan signal recognition particle RNA". It matches the Rfam family "Metazoan signal recognition particle RNA". Rfam says of the family: The signal recognition particle (SRP) is a universally conserved ribonucleoprotein. The record is from Rfam by way of RNAcentral. Lineage: Eukaryota; Metazoa; Cnidaria; Hydrozoa; Leptothecata; Clytiidae.